Molecule: ribosomal RNA, 253 nt
Filed under: uncultured bacterium
Lineage: Bacteria
Description: partial 16S ribosomal RNA
Rfam family: Bacterial small subunit ribosomal RNA
Source: RNAcentral
UACAGAGACUGCAAGCGUUAUUCGGAUUCACUGGGCGUAAAGGGUGCGCAGGCGGCCGUGUGUGUCAGGUGUGAAAGCCCGGAGCUUAACUCCGGAAUUGCGCCUGAAACUACAUGGCUAGAGCAUUGGAGAGGGUAGCAGAAUUCACGGUGUAGCAGUGAAAUGCGUAGAUAUCGUGAGGAAUACCAGAGGCGAAGGCGGCUACCUGGACAAUUGCUGACGCUCAGGCACGAAAGCGUGGGGAGCAAAAGGG